AUUUUAUGGCCCAAUUUCUCACUAUUAACUAACCAUUAACUAUGACUUUUGCCUCAAUAAACUCCUAAUUUGCCGCUUAUUAACAGUUAGUGAGGUAGUACGGAAAUUAAGUUUAGGUAUGGGGUAGUAUUAGGGAUCUAAAAU
Long non-coding RNA from Sinocyclocheilus anshuiensis, 144 nucleotides. RefSeq lists it as uncharacterized. The record is from RefSeq and is a predicted model, not a curated record. NCBI's taxonomy places the organism in Eukaryota, Metazoa, Chordata, Actinopteri, Cypriniformes, Cyprinidae. The transcript is spliced from 3 exons.